RNAcentral lists this ribosomal RNA (492 nucleotides) under uncultured bacterium. Its description in RNAcentral is "partial 16S ribosomal RNA". It matches the Rfam family "Bacterial small subunit ribosomal RNA", at positions 29 to 507 of the family's 1533-position model. The record is from RNAcentral.
AGUGAACGCUGGCGGUAGGCCUAACACAUGCAAGUCGAACGGCAGCACAGUAAGAGCUUGCUCUUACGGGUGGCGAGUGGCGGACGGGUGAGGAAUACAUCGGAAUCUACUUUUUCGUGGGGGAUAACGUAGGGAAACUUACGCUAAUACCGCAUACGACCUACGGGUGAAAGCAGGGGAUCUUCGGACCUUGCGCGAUUGAAUGAGCCGAUGUCGGAUUAGCUAGUUGGCGGGGUAAAGGCCCACCAAGGCGACGAUCCGUAGCUGGUCUGAGAGGAUGAUCAGCCACACUGGAACUGAGACACGGUCCAGACUCCUACGGGAGGCGGCAGUGGGGAAUAUUGGACAAUGGGCGCAAGCCUGAUCCAGCCAUACCGCGUGGGUGAAGAAGGCCUUCGGGUUGUAAAGCCCUUUUGUUGGGAAGGAAAAGCAGCAGGUUAAUACCCCGCUGUUCUGACGGUACCCAAAGAAUAAGCACCGGCUAACUUCGUG